Non-coding RNA from Parelaphostrongylus tenuis, 74 nucleotides. Lineage: Eukaryota; Metazoa; Nematoda; Chromadorea; Rhabditida; Metastrongylidae. The record is from the annotation of a GenBank genome assembly.
GCCUCAGUGGGUGUAGUGGUAGAGCACGCAUCCCCGGAUAGGAUGAAACGUGGGUUCGCUUCCCGCCUGAGGCC